AUCGUAAUUGAAGAGGUUUGGAAAGACCCACCACAGAAGGUAAUAGUCCUGUAUGUUAAACGAGAAGACUUUAGAUAUGAUCCAGAGUACCACGGGACACGUGAAACCCUGUGGGAAGCAGGAGGGACCACCCUCCAAGGCUAAAUACUACCUAGUGACCGAUAGCGUAUAGUACCGUGAGGGAAAGGUGAAAAGAACCCCGGGAGGGGAGUGAAAUAGAACCUGAAACCCUGCACUUACAAGCUGUGGAAGCACAUUUCUUGUGUGACCGCGUACUUUUUGUAGAACGGGCCAACGAGUUACGUUAAGUAGCAAGGUUAAGCACUUAAGGUGCGGAGCCGUAGCGAAAGCGAGUUUUAACUGAGCGUUCAGUUACUUGACGUAGACCCGAAACCGGGCGACCUACCCAUGAGCAGGAUGAAGCGAAAGUAAAAUUUCGUGGAGGUCCGAACCCACGAGCGUUGAAAAGCUCGGGGAUGACUUGUGGGUAGCGGUGAAAUUCCAAUCGAGCCCGGAGAUAGCUGGUUCUCCCCGAAAUAGCUUUAGGGCUAGCCUCAAGGUGAGAGAUACGGAGGUAGAGCACUGAAUGUCCUAGGGGGUAUUGCACCUACCGAAGACUAUCAAACUCCGAAUGCCGUCAUCUUAUACUUGGGAGUCAGACUGUGGGUGAUAAGAUUCAUAGUCGAAAGGGCAACAGCCCAGAUCGUCAGCUAAGGUCCCUAAAUGUAAGUUAAGUGGUAAAGGAUGUGGGAUUGCACAGACAACCAGGAUGUUGGCUUAGAAGCAGCCACUCAUUCAAAGAGUGCGUAAUAGCUCACUGGUCGAGUGAUCCUGCGCCGAAGAUUUCCGGGGCUAAAACUUACUACCGAAGCUACGGCAUCAGUAAUGAUGGGUAGGGGAGCUUCCCAUACGGGUUGAAGCAUGACCGUAAGGACAUGUGGACAGUAUGGGAGUGAGAAUGUUGGCAUGAGUAGCGAGAUGUGGGUGAGAAUCCCACAGGCCGUAAACCCAAGGUUUCCAGGGGAAGGUUCGUCCGCCCUGGGUUAGUCGGGACCUAAGCUGAGGCCGAAAGGCGUAGGUGAUGGACAACAGGUUGAUAUUCCUGUACUACCGAUAACCGUUUGAGAGA
This 1129-nucleotide ribosomal RNA is filed under the name Clostridioides difficile. Its description in RNAcentral is "partial 23S ribosomal RNA". It matches the Rfam family "Bacterial large subunit ribosomal RNA", at positions 326 to 1465 of the family's 2925-position model. Lineage: Bacteria; Bacillati; Bacillota; Clostridia; Peptostreptococcales; Peptostreptococcaceae. The record is from RNAcentral.